ACACAACUUAUCUGUUCAAAUAUAUGCCUUUCACCCUAUUCAACUUGAAUAACUGCCCCCACAGUAGCUUAUUUAUACCAAAUGCUGUAAUGUUUGAAAAAAAAAUGUGAAAAUUCGAAUAUCAAAAUGUAUCAUAUACUGUCUCUUUAAAAAUUCGACUUCGACCAUUCGCCAUCUAAAACCUGCCGAAUUGCUGUUUGAGCCUAUUGACUACCCAUUUGGAGUCAAUUGGUGGACUUUGAAAAACCGAAAAUUCGAAUUUGAUUGCGCUAUUACUUCGAUUCGUACGAAUCUAAUUCAGCUGUAUUACGGACCUAUUUGAUGGAAAACUGACCUAUUUGGUUACAAAGAACUUCAACUUAAUUUCGGUUGGUCUUUUUGAAUUCGAAUUUCGAAAUUCGACCCUUGAUAAAUAUGCCCCUAUCUUUAAAUGCUUUUUAAAAAAAAAAACUUCAUAUUUUUGGAACAAACAAACAGUAUCCCCCCCUAUGCAACCCCUUGGGCAAGAGAAGUUGCCUGGGAAAUAUAUUAUAUAUUUAAAAAUAUCUGUUAAAUAUAUUAUAUAUCUACAUAUACAGUAUAAGUAGGAAACUGCCAUCAACAGGAAAAAAACUUUUUAUAAAAGUAAAUUGCAUCCAGUACAUUACCCAUAAAUUUUGAUAUGAUAUUUCUAAAAUGCUUGUUGUUAAUACUGAAUAAAAUCUAAAAUUCAUCAAUUACAUAAAAAAAGGUUUGGGACACCUGAUAUAGACAUGCAACAGCUAUUGUGUGCCACAUAAGUCUACAUGCAUGGUACAAAUGCCUUUUUAUUAAAUAUUCCCUGAUACAUAUCAUGGCUUCAACAUCAAGGAAGGUGCAGAGCCGAAGCAGUCAAGCCCAGGAGGAAAAUGCCAAGAAAAAGUAAGAACACCCUCUGUAAUUACAGAUUUGGAAUGCCAAGACAGGAAAACCCAUAAGGGUGUAUGAGGAGCAUAUAGAACAAGUCAACUGCUGCCAAUUCACCAAUGGACUCUCUGCACCACUGCUUGCCACAUGCUCCAAUGACUGCCUAAUCAAGAUUUUUGAUUCUAAGAGCUGUGAGCUUCUGUCUCGACUCAAGGCCUGCCAUCAGAUCCUUUACUGUGACUUCUGCACUACUAAUCAGAUUGUAGCACUUGCUUUGUCACACGAUGUUGUUCAGGUAUGCAGUUUGAUCCCUUUUCCUGUCUCAUUCAAUAAUCUUAAUGCUAUCUUUUUCAUUCUCUCCUGUAGCCACUUUCAAAAAUACCCAGUUAAUGUUAAAUUCUAAGUGAGACAAUACAUUACCAUAAGCAGAUUCUUCUGCCAACACAUUUUUUUUUCUUUUAAGUGAUUAAACUUGAAAAAAGACCCCUGGGUUGGCAAAUUUGCGUAGCCUACACAUUACUCCAUCUUUGGCUCUUUAGUAUAUUUGUAUUCUGUUUUUCCUUAUAUUGUUCAUUUGGUGUAGGUCUCUCUGUAUGUAGUGUAUCAUACAGUGAUGUAGCAUAAAUGGCACACAGUAAAUGUACAGAGAAGAAAGCUGUCAAAAUUUCAGCCGGAAACACUGUGAUUUAGAUAGAUGAUUAUACGUUUAUUUCUGUGACUGACUAUUUUCUCCUGCUGUGAAUGCAUUGAAACAUAAUCAGGUGGGAAGUGAAUGUUAGCAAGGAAUGCAGAAGGCUUAUAGUGUACUUCAGCAGCACUUACGCAGAACUGCACUGUGACCAGUGUAAGAAUUAAAUAAGGUGACGUGGAUGUAGGGGGAAAAAAGCAUUCCGGGAGGUUAGAAAAGUAAUUCAGAUCAUCAAAAGAUUACCAUUCUUCUAAGCAGUACGUAUUGUGAGUAUAACUAAGACUCUCUUUUUAUGUAAGACUUUUAAGCAUUUGACACCCCGUUUUCUUUUAAUGAGGUGAGAUAAAAGUGCUGCAGGUGAGAAAAGAAAUGUUAAAGUUGUAGUGCUUUAAAAAAUAGUGGGGUUAACAGGUUAUGGAAAUGAACAUGAGUCACGUAAAUUGACUGGGGAGACCAAGUCAAGAAGAGGAUAAGUGAAGAGGUGAAUGAAUCGUGCAACAGAAAAAAGAAGAAGGAUUCAAAGUAAAAUUGCGGAUGUAGUAUUAGUGUAGUAGAGGAUGAGUGAAAAUUAUGAUGAGGGUAUGGAGAAGAGCAAUAUAAUCUAAUUUCAUAAAGUUUCUUUUGUUUGCCUAGCUGUGGAACACAGAUUCCUCUACGAAGAUAGCUGACUUCAAUGCACACCUGAGCUUGGUUCACUGUGUUAAAGGAACAGUUCAGUGUGAAAAUAAAAACUGUGUAAAUAGGCUGUGCAAAAUAAAAAAUGUUUCUAAUAUAGUUAG
Xenopus laevis (African clawed frog) is the source of this 2352-nucleotide long non-coding RNA. RefSeq lists it as uncharacterized. The record is from RefSeq and is a predicted model, not a curated record. The transcript is spliced from 3 exons. NCBI's taxonomy places the organism in Eukaryota, Metazoa, Chordata, Amphibia, Anura, Pipidae.